Molecule: ribosomal RNA, 292 nt
Filed under: uncultured bacterium
Lineage: Bacteria
Description: partial 16S ribosomal RNA
Source: RNAcentral
GGACUACACGGGUUUCUAAUCCCGUUCGCUCCCCAUGCUGUCGUGUCUGAGCGUCAGGGGGGUGCCAGGGCACCGCCUUCGCCUCUGGGGUUCCUCCGGAUCUCUACGCAUUUCACCACUACACCCGGAAUUCCAUGCCCCUCUCACCCCCUCUAGUCCUACAGUCUGGCAUAACCCCGCCCGGUUGAGCCCGGCGAUUUCAUACACCACUUAUAAGACCGCCUGCACACGCUUUACACCCAGUAAAUCCGGAUAACGCUCGCCACCUACGUUUUACCGCGGCUGCUGGCAC